Molecule: ribosomal RNA, 534 nt
Filed under: Triticum aestivum (bread wheat)
Lineage: Eukaryota; Viridiplantae; Streptophyta; Magnoliopsida; Poales; Poaceae
Description: partial small subunit ribosomal RNA
Source: RNAcentral
AUGGCGAAAGCGCCUCGUCCGAGGGGAUGGAGCACCAAGCGCAACAUCCUGGCGGCUCUCCCCGGGGCCCUUGUCACCGGCGUCGUCGUCAUCGCGGUCUCGGCGGUCCUCACCCCGGCAGAGGUCGUCUUCACGGUCACCAACGCCACCAGGUCCGAGUGGGAGCUGCAGCUCAUCCUCUCCGCAAACGACACGAGCCACCGCGCCUGGGUCGAUUACCACAGCUUCAUCGUCUACCUGGUGUACACGGCCAAGGGGACGGUCUACAAGGUGCCGGCGGAUGUGGCGCCGCCGACACCCCAGCGGCCGGGAACCACGGCGAACAUGAGCGUGUCGGCCAGCUUUGCCUUGAAUAACUUGCCGACAGCCGGGGAAGGUGGUGGCACGCCGGAGAUCAGCGUGCUGGUGCUGGCCGUGGUGAGGUUCACUGUCGGGCCGGCUUACACGAGGCCGUACGACGUCAGGGUGCUGUGCGACCCCGUCGACUACUUUGGCGCCAAGAAUCUUAGCUUUCCUGUAAGAUGUGCUGCUUGA